Molecule: small nuclear RNA, 190 nt
Organism: Nomascus leucogenys (northern white-cheeked gibbon)
Lineage: Eukaryota; Metazoa; Chordata; Mammalia; Primates; Hylobatidae
Gene: U2
Rfam family: U2 spliceosomal RNA
About the family: U2 is a small nuclear RNA (snRNA) component of the spliceosome (involved in pre-mRNA splicing). Complementary binding between U2 snRNA (in an area lying towards the 5' end but 3' to hairpin I) and the branchpoint sequence (BPS) of the intron results the bulging out of an unpaired adenosine, on the BPS, which initiates a nucleophilic attack at the intronic 5' splice site, thus starting the first of two transesterification reactions that mediate splicing.
Source: Ensembl
AUCGCUUCUCUGCCUUUUGGCUAAGAUCAAGUGUAGGAUCUGUUCUUAACAGUUUAAUAUCUGAUAUAUUUUCUAUCCGAGACCAAUAUAUUAAAUGGAUUUGGGGAGCAGGAAGACGGAAUAGGAGCUUGCUUGUUCACUUCACGCAUCGACCUGGUAUUACAGUACCUCCAGGAACAGUGCACCCCCU